RNAcentral lists this ribosomal RNA (463 nucleotides) under uncultured bacterium. RNAcentral describes it as "partial 16S ribosomal RNA". It matches the Rfam family "Bacterial small subunit ribosomal RNA", at positions 28 to 507 of the family's 1533-position model. The record is from RNAcentral.
GACGAACGCUGGCGGCGUGCUUAACACAUGCAAGUCGAACGGAUAACCGCUGCUUACGUGAGGAGUUCGCGACGGGAGGGUGAGACGUGCGCAAGAUUCUCCCGGCUCUGGGAUAACUACAACUGCAGGGGGCUGAUACUACUGCCUCAGAGCUGCGCGCGCAGGUGGGGGUGGUAGGGCUUGACGCCUGGGGAUGGGCCCGCGGCUUAUCAGCUCGUUGGUGGGGUAGGGGCAUACCAAGGCGACGAUGGGUAGCCGGCCUGAGAGGGUGACCGGCCACCAUGGGACUGCGAGACGGACCAGACUCCUACGGGAGGCAGCAGUGGGGAAUAUUGCACAAUGGGCGGAAGCCUGAUGAAGCGACGCCGCGUGCGGGAUGACGGCCUUCGGGUUGUAAACCGCUUUCAGCUGUGACGAAGCGGGAGUGACGGUACCUGCAGAAGAAGCACCGGCUAACUACGUG